This 306-nucleotide long non-coding RNA is filed under the name Panax ginseng (ginseng). RNAcentral describes it as "long non-coding RNA (PGIN_LNC016447)". Lineage: Eukaryota; Viridiplantae; Streptophyta; Magnoliopsida; Apiales; Araliaceae. The record is from RNAcentral.
AGAAAUAUAUACGAACACUUUUUUUUUGUAAGUACGUAUAGGUUAAAAAGGCUAAAGCCCCCCUUAAAAAUAAAAAAAAUAGACAAAACCUUGGGUCACUUGACAACAAUUAAUUAGGUAUUUAUUAAGGUUAAAUAACAUUAUUUUUUUUCUUUAAUAUUAAUUAUCCACUUAAUUACUUAGUGAACAAUAAUUAAUUAUUUGUGCUAAUUAGUACAUAUGCGCAUACUCUUUAAUUUUUAGAGUAUAUAUUGAAGUUUUCAAUAUACAUGCAUCAUUUGAUACUAUAUUUAAAUCCGUGAAGGC